This is a non-coding RNA of Pseudomonas putida, 208 nucleotides long. NCBI's taxonomy places the organism in Bacteria, Pseudomonadati, Pseudomonadota, Gammaproteobacteria, Pseudomonadales, Pseudomonadaceae. The record is from Rfam.
AUCAGACAGGUGCAGGCGAAUGGAGGCCGAUAUGUUCUUCGAUAAUGUGGUUAUCGCUGGCGUUGUGACAGUCGGCCUGAUGCUGCUGUUUUUCGCAGGCCUGGGUAUUUUCAUCUGGAAGGACUCGAACAAGCGCAAGCAGGGCUGAUCCUUUCCGAUACACGAGCACGCAAGGCAUUUAGGGCAACUUCGGUUGCCCAUUUUUUUU